RNAcentral lists this transfer RNA (69 nucleotides) under Bambusicaliscelis flavus. Its description in RNAcentral is "tRNA-Asp". The record is from RNAcentral. Lineage: Eukaryota; Metazoa; Arthropoda; Insecta; Hemiptera; Caliscelidae.
AAGAAGUUAGUUUAAACAAAACAAUUAUUUGUCAAAUAAAAAUUAUAUAAUAAAUAUAUAUACAUCUUG